AGCGAACGCUGGCGGCAGGCUUAACACAUGCAAGUCGAGCGGGCGUAGCAAUACGUCAGCGGCAGACGGGUGAGUAACGCGUGGGAACGUACCUUUUGGUUCGGAACAACCCAGGGAAACUUGGGCUAAUACCGGAUAAGCCCUUACGGGGAAAGAUUUAUCGCCGAAAGAUCGGCCCGUGUCUGAUUAGCUAGUUGGUGAGGUAACGGCUCACCAAGGCGACGAUCAGUAGCUGGUCUGAGAGGAUGAUCAGUCACAUUGGGACUGAGACACGGCCCAAACUCCUACGGGAGGCAGCAGUGGGAAUAUUGGACAAUGGGCGCAAGCCUGAUCCAGCCAUGCCGCGUGAGUGAUGAAGGCCCUAGGGUUGUAAAGCUCUUUUGUGCGGGAAGAUAAUGACGGUACCGCAAGAAUAAGCCCCGGCUAACUUCGUGCCAGCCGCCGCCGUAAC
RNAcentral lists this ribosomal RNA (451 nucleotides) under uncultured bacterium. RNAcentral describes it as "bacterial SSU rRNA". It matches the Rfam family "Bacterial small subunit ribosomal RNA", at positions 29 to 524 of the family's 1533-position model. The record is from RNAcentral.